Molecule: long non-coding RNA, 2008 nt
Organism: Symphalangus syndactylus (siamang)
Lineage: Eukaryota; Metazoa; Chordata; Mammalia; Primates; Hylobatidae
Source: RefSeq, a predicted model, not a curated record
CUUGCCAGCCCCACCUACCGCACCCCCCACCCUCCCCGGCCGACCUCACAAAGGGGCCUAAACCUGAGCCUCAGGACUGCAUCCAGAGAACACCUGUACCUGGAGGCUGCUAGGUGCUCAGGCCAUAAGGUCCUUUUGCCCAUCUGCCUCCCCCAGGGAGCAGCCAGGUCUAUCCUAUUCUUGCUGGGUCCCUACACCUGGGCCAAGUGGGCACAAAGCAGCCCUCGCCGAGAGCACAGACGAGGAGAAAUGAGAUCAUCCAACAGUAGAGAAAACUUUUAAGUCAGCACAAAAUGGAGACUCUUCAGAGCCGUUCUCAGCACCGUCCUGCUGCUGUCUGCCUUAGCCUACUACCCUCUGCCCUUUACAGGGAGAACGUUACACCAGAACAAAGGCACUCGCAAGCCAACAAGAGCAGGUUCUUGAUUUACCUAUUCCAAACGCCAACACUCCUCCUGCUUGGUAUUUCUUAGUCUGCAAGAGAGAGCCAAGUGUUCCUCAGUGCUGUUGAAACCUCACUGGUAUUUCUCUUAAAAAGCAUCAAAGGGCAGGCUUCCUGAAGAGGGUUCUUAAAAAUUAAAUCACCAAGAGGAAAUGUCUUCAUGGCUUCUUCUCUCCUCACCAGACAGAAUAAGCCAUGCUGACAGGGAUGGACUUUCUCAUAAAAGGGCUUUUCAUUUCCAACAGCAAAAACCUUGUUUUUCUUGGAUUUUAGUAAAGUAAACCAAUCCGCCCGAUGUUGGAAUGAAAUAAAACUUUGUAAACAAGUGGGAAAAAAAAGAAGGGGUGAGAGUGGUGGAAGGAGAGAGGAAGAAACAUUUGCAGAGACAACCACUCUAGCACGGAGCCUGUUCUGAUUCUCAGGAGAAUUACGCCCAACAAGAAAGACCUGCUCUCUUAAUUGUUCAAAGGCCACCUGCUAAAAAAACAGGGUGGAACUCCAGGUCCUGCCCACGAAGACACAAAAUACCGUCUGCAGAUCACAUCUCUGUGCUUUGGGACGACUCAGCAGACACUGCCACUACAUCUGAAAAAAAGCAGCAUGACACCGAAAAGCAAUUCGCUCCUGCCUGACCGCCCUGGAUUGCCACUUCAGAAGUAGAGAACCAUGGACGCAUCCAGACGCCAGAAGCGGCAGCCCAGCUCAGCAGGAGGAAGACCAGAAAAGAGACCCAGCGCACUCCUGGUCCUCCUGAAAUAGUGACCCCCUUCACGAGUGUUCUAAUAACCCUCCAGAAUGAAACAAAAGACCUGAGUUGAAUUUAUAACUCCAACUACCAUUCCCAAACUCCCCCAAACACUCACCAUGGGAACAGUAACCCCAUUUCAAAAACCGGCAUCAUAAGCUGGGUGCAGUGGCAUGGGCCAGGAGUCCCACCUACUUGGGAAGCUGAGGCAGGAGGACUGCCCAGGAGCUAGAGGGUGCAGUGACUGUGACAGAGCCUAUAAACAGCCACUGUGCUCCGGCCUGGGCAACACAGUGAGACCCCGUUUCUUAAAAAAAAAAAACAGCAUGAGGCCAGGUGCAGUGGCUCAUGCCUGUAAUCUCAGCACUUUGGGAGGCCGAAGUGGGCGGAUCACAAGGUCAGGAGAUGAGACCAUCCUGGCUAACACGGUGAAACCCCGUCUCUACUAAAAAUACAAAAAAUUAGCCGGGCAUGGCGGUGGGCGCCUGUAGUCCCAGCUACUCGGGAGGCUGAGGCAGGAGAAUGGUGUGAACCUGGGAGGUGGAGCUUGCAGUGAGCCAAGAUCAUGCCACUGCACUCCAGCUGGAUGAGAGAGCGAGACUCCGUCUCAAAACAAACAAACAAACAAAAAAGCAUGAUUAGAGAACUUCAUACUUCAAGAGUUGUGGAAUUCCUUCUCUAGGUAGACAAAUCAAAAGUAUCAGUCACUCAAAGGCUGUUACUAUGUCACAGAAGGAAGGCUGCCUGGUGUGGGAACACAAAUAUGUGUUUGCUGCAUGGCCAAGAAAGGAGGAGCAUGGGGCGGAGGGCUCCAGCCAGAG